This 253-nucleotide ribosomal RNA is filed under the name uncultured bacterium. RNAcentral describes it as "partial 16S ribosomal RNA". It matches the Rfam family "Bacterial small subunit ribosomal RNA", at positions 524 to 776 of the family's 1533-position model. The record is from RNAcentral.
UACGUAGGGGGCAAGCGUUGUCCGGAUUUAUUGGGCGGAAAGAGCGUGUAGGCGGCUUGGUAGGUCCGCUGUGAAAACUCGAGGCUCAACCUCGAGAUGUCGGCGGAAACCACUUGGCUAGAGUCCGGAAGAGGAGAGUGGAAUUCCCGGUGUAGCGGUGAAAUGCGCAGAUAUCGGGAAGAACACCUAUGGCGAAGGCAGCUCUCUGGGACGGUACUGACGCUGAGACGCGAAAGCGUGGGGAGCAAACAGG